RNAcentral lists this ribosomal RNA (624 nucleotides) under Debaryomyces hansenii. RNAcentral's name for it is "LSU rRNA". It matches the Rfam family "Eukaryotic large subunit ribosomal RNA", at positions 65 to 664 of the family's 3401-position model. The record is from RNAcentral. Lineage: Eukaryota; Fungi; Ascomycota; Pichiomycetes; Serinales; Debaryomycetaceae.
CCACGAGGGGAUGGCCUUAGUACGGCGAGUGAAGCGGCAAAAGCUCAAAUUUGAAAUCUGGCACCUUCGGUGUCCGAGUUGUAAUUUGAAGAAGGUAACUUUGGAGUUGGCUCUUGUCUAUGUUCCUUGGAACAGGACGUCACAGAGGGUGAGAAUCCCGUGCGAUGAGAUGCCCAAUUCUAUGUAAAGUGCUUUCGAAGAGUCGAGUUGUUUGGGAAUGCAGCUCUAAGUGGGUGGUAAAUUCCAUCUAAAGCUAAAUAUUGGCGAGAGACCGAUAGCGAACAAGUACAGUGAUGGAAAGAUGAAAAGAACUUUGAAAAGAGAGUGAAAAAGUACGUGAAAUUGUUGAAAGGGAAGGGCUUGAGAUCAGACUUGGUAUUUUGCGAUCCUUUCCUUCUUGGUUGGGUUCCUCGCAGCUUACUGGGCCAGCAUCGGUUUGGAUGGUAGGAUAAUGACUAAGGAAUGUGGCUCUACUUCGGUGGAGUGUUAUAGCCUUGGUUGAUACUGCCUGUCUAGACCGAGGACUGCGUCUUUUGACUAGGAUGUUGGCAUAAUGAUCUUAAGCCACCCGUCUGAAAAAAGGGGGCCAAAAAAAAAUUUUAAAAUUAGAGUGAAAAAUAAACC